UACGUAGGGUGCAAGCGUUAAUCGGAAUUACUGGGCGUAAAGCGUGCGCAGGCGGCUAUGCAAGACAGAUGUGAAAUCCCCGGGCUUAACCUGGGAACUGCAUUUGCGACUGCAUGGCUAGAGUACGGUAGAGGGGGAUGGAAUUCCGCGUGUAGCAGUGAAAUGCGUAGAUAUGCGGAGGAACACCGAUGGCGAAGGCAAUCCCCUGGACCUGUACUGACGCUCAUGCACGAAGGCUAGGGGAGCGAACGGG
Molecule: ribosomal RNA, 253 nt
Filed under: uncultured bacterium
Lineage: Bacteria
Description: partial 16S ribosomal RNA
Rfam family: Bacterial small subunit ribosomal RNA
Source: RNAcentral